CUAUACAGCCUGCUAGCUUUCC
This 22-nucleotide microRNA is filed under the name Strongylocentrotus purpuratus (purple sea urchin). RNAcentral describes it as "Spu-Let-7_3p* (star (passenger))". The record is from RNAcentral. Lineage: Eukaryota; Metazoa; Echinodermata; Echinoidea; Camarodonta; Strongylocentrotidae.